Cyprinus carpio carpio is the source of this 1208-nucleotide long non-coding RNA. Lineage: Eukaryota; Metazoa; Chordata; Actinopteri; Cypriniformes; Cyprinidae. The record is from Ensembl.
AAGAUGAGGUUGCUAAGAGACAGCCGCGGUACUCACAGACUGUUGAUACAGAGUGUGUUCAUGUUCAGAUAGUAAUGACAAUGGGCAAUCACGACAGAGUCACACAAACAGAAGCCGCUGAGAGGGGGUGAUCAUUUAUGUGAAACGGGUAUCCAUCGAUUUUGAGAGUAUCAUUAUUUCAAAGGCCAAUUACCCAUUUUGAUCGCGGCUGCCACAACAUCAGAGUCUGUAUCCAGAUCAAGGCUGUCCUUUGGACGGUGCAACUGGUUUGAGGGGGCCCCGCGGUGAAUGGAUUGAACGCAAUCAUGAGCGAACUGACGUGGACCAAAACCCAAAACUAACUGCCAUUUUGACCCCCUUGUAAUGAUUGAGGUGGAUCAGACACAAGAGUAUUUGUUAUAUUUGACAAAUAUUGGACAAUACCCCUCCCCAACAAGCAGAACAUGUGGUUGAGAGAACCAGGCCUCUGGUUACCGUGGUAACAAAGACACACAUCAAGAUAAGAUUGUUUUACAACUCAAAGGAAUGUUGAGUUUUAAAUCUAUAUUCACUUUGAAACAGACAAAUGUACCUUUGUACUAUACAGUCCAUCCCAAUUAUAUCGAUCUCCCUCUAGAUAUAACCACUUGAGAAAUGUAGGGACAUGUAUCCAAUUUUCCCCAUCUCAUUAUUUUUCCUCUUAUGGUGUUUUGCUUAUGUAUUGAUACAAACUCUUUUAAAUGAACAUUUGAGAAGUUUUCAGAUGCAGAAACUCCAGGGCAAGAUGCAGAGCUAAGAGUCCUCAAGAACACAAUCUAAGCUUGUAGGUUUUGGCCUAGUCUUUCCAUUUUAAGAUCCUUUUACUCAAACUGGUUCUUUUUCAUCAACCAACUUCAACAAAGAUCAACUUGAGCCUUCAGGUUGCAUCAGGACUCUCUUUCAGACAGACAAGACGUGCAAGUAUCAAACUUAGUGUUAUUAAUUACAUUAAGUAUCAUUUGUACCUUUAACAAAGGUGUGUUUGAACUAAGAAACUGACGUUUCCUUCAGGCUGUAGAUCUGCUGAAUAUCAAAUUUUACCAUAACUUCAUGCUUUAUUUCUUUUCUCUUUACUGCUUAAGCUUUAAAGGGGUCAUGAAAUGAGAAACCAAAUUUGCCUUGAUCUUUUGGAAUAUAAGAGGUCUUUGUACCAUUAAAACGUCCUGCAAGUUUCAUAGCUUAAGACGUCC